RNAcentral lists this non-coding RNA (29 nucleotides) under Mus musculus (house mouse). Lineage: Eukaryota; Metazoa; Chordata; Mammalia; Rodentia; Muridae. The record is from RNAcentral.
UAGAAAAUGUAAAGGCCAAGAUCCAGAAU